This 492-nucleotide ribosomal RNA is filed under the name uncultured bacterium. RNAcentral's name for it is "partial 16S ribosomal RNA". It matches the Rfam family "Bacterial small subunit ribosomal RNA", at positions 29 to 507 of the family's 1533-position model. The record is from RNAcentral.
AGUGAACGCUGGCGGUAGGCCUAACACAUGCAAGUCGAACGGCAGCACAGUAAGAGCUUGCUCUUACGGGUGGCGAGUGGCGGACGGGUGAGGAAUACAUCGGAAUCUACUUUUUCGUGGGGGAUAACGUAGGGAAACUUACGCUAAUACCGCAUACGACCUACGGGUGAAAGCAGGGGAUCUUCGGACCUUGCGCGAUUGAAUGAGCCGAUGUCGGAUUAGCUAGUUGGCGGGGUAAAGGCCCACCAAGGCGACGAUCCGUAGCGGGUCUGAGAGGAUGAUCAGCCACACUGGAACUGAGACACGGUCCAGACUCCUACGGGAGGCAGCAGUGGGGAAUAUUGGACAAUGGGCGCAAGCCUGAUCCAGCUAUACCGCGUGGGUGAAGAAGGCCUUCGGGUUGUAAAGCCCUUUUGUUGGGAAAGAAAAGCAGCAGGUUAAUCCCCCGCUGUUCUGACGGUACCCAAAGAAUAAGCACCGGCUAACUUCGUG